UGGGGAAUAUUGCACAAUGGGGGAAACCCUGAUGCAGCGACGCCGCGUGAGUGAAGAAAUAUUUCGGUAUGUAAAGCUCUAUCAGCAGGGAAGAAAAUGACGGUACCUGAGUAAGAAGCCCCGGCUAACUACGUGCCAGCAGCCGCGGUAAUACGUAGGGGGCAAGCGUUAUCCGGAUUUACUGGGUGUAAAGGGAGCGCAGACGGCAGCGCAAGUCUGGAGUGAAAUCCCGCGGCUUAACCGCGGAACUGCUUUGGAAACUGUGCAGCUGGAGUGCAGGAGGGGCAGGCGGAAUUUCUGGUGUAGCGGUGAAAUGCGUAGAUAUCAGGAGGAACACCGGUGGCGAAGGCGGCCUGCUGGACUGUAACUGACGUUGAGGCUCGAAAGCGUGGGGAGCAAACAGG
This 404-nucleotide ribosomal RNA is filed under the name uncultured bacterium. RNAcentral's name for it is "bacterial SSU rRNA". It matches the Rfam family "Bacterial small subunit ribosomal RNA", at positions 355 to 776 of the family's 1533-position model. The record is from RNAcentral.